GUAAGCGUAAGUCAUCAGCUUGCGUUGAUUACGUCCCUGCCCUUUGUACACACCGCCCGUCGCUACUACCGAUUGAAUGGCUCAGUGAGGCGUUCGGACUGGCCCAGGGAGGCGGGCGACUGCCACCCAGGGCCGGAAAGUUCUCCAAACUCGGUCAUUUAGAGGAAGUAAAAGUCGUAACAAGGUCUCCGUUGGUGAACCAGCGGAGGGAUCAUUA
This 217-nucleotide ribosomal RNA is filed under the name Pleurocordyceps ramosopulvinata. Its description in RNAcentral is "Polycephalomyces ramosopulvinatus partial 18S rRNA". It matches the Rfam family "Eukaryotic small subunit ribosomal RNA", at positions 1617 to 1831 of the family's 1831-position model. The record is from RNAcentral. RNAcentral also lists the same sequence under 1 other name. Lineage: Eukaryota; Fungi; Ascomycota; Sordariomycetes; Hypocreales; Polycephalomycetaceae.